UGAAUCAGAGGACAGAACGGGCAGCUGUCGCCGGAUGGAUUUAAUCCUGAUUAGGAGAUGUGGGAAUGUCACCCCACCUAUUCA
The submitters of this non-coding RNA (84 nucleotides) gave its source as unclassified sequences. The record is from Rfam.